Molecule: ribosomal RNA, 493 nt
Filed under: uncultured bacterium
Lineage: Bacteria
Description: partial 16S ribosomal RNA
Rfam family: Bacterial small subunit ribosomal RNA
Source: RNAcentral
AUUGAACGCUGGCGGCAUGCUUUACACAUGCAAGUCGAACGGUAACAGGUUAAGCUGACGAGUGGCGAACGGGUGAGUAAUGCAUCGGAACGUGCCCGAUCGUGGGGGAUAACGCAGCGAAAGCUGCGCUAAUACCGCAUACGAUCUGAGGAUGAAAGCGGGGGACCGUAAGGCCUCGCGCGACCGGAGCGGCCGAUGUCAGAUUAGGUAGUUGGUGGGGGAAAGGCCCACCAAGCCUACGAUCUGUAGCUGGUCUGAGAGGACGACCAGCCAGACUGGGAUUGAGACACAGCCCGGACUCCUACGGGAGGCAGCAGUGGGGAAUUUUGGAUAAUGGGCGUAAGCCUGAUCAAGCAAUGCCGCGUGCAGGAAGAAGGCCUUCGAGUUGUAAACUGCUUUUGUACGGAGCGAAAAGGUCCUUUCUAAUACAAGGGGCUCAUGACGGUACCGUAAGAAUAAGCACCGGCUAACUACGUGCCAGCCGCCGCAGUAA